This 1343-nucleotide ribosomal RNA is filed under the name Occidozyga martensii (round-tongued floating frog). RNAcentral's name for it is "partial 16S large subunit ribosomal RNA". It matches the Rfam family "Bacterial large subunit ribosomal RNA", at positions 133 to 2532 of the family's 2925-position model. Lineage: Eukaryota; Metazoa; Chordata; Amphibia; Anura; Dicroglossidae. The record is from RNAcentral.
GCUAAAAAUCUAGCCUAUAAUUUUUUAUGACACCUCAUUUUCUUAACUAAAAUAAAUCAUUUUAAUAUUUAAGUAAAGGCGAUUGAAAAAAUUCUUAGAGCCUCAACUUUAGUACCGCAAGGGAAAGAUGAAAUAUUAAUGAAAUACUUCAAGCACAAAAUAGUAGAGAUUAAAACUCGUACCUUUUGCAUCAUGGUCUAGCAAGUCCUUAUCAAGCACAAAGACAUUUUAGUUUGACUUCCCGAAACUAGGCGAGCUACUUCAAAACAACCUUUAGGGCCAACCCGUCUCUGUUGCAAAAGAGUGGGAAGAUUUUCAAGUAGAAGUGAUAAGCCAAUCGAGCCUAGCGAUAGCUGGUUAUUCAAGAAAAGAAUUUUAGUUCUACUUUAAGCUUCCUUCUGACCCAUAACAAACUAUUAAGCUUAAAAGUUAUUCAAAUAAGGCACAGCUUAUUUGAAAAAGGCUACAACCUAGACAUUAGGGUAAGUUCAUUUUCCUCAACAAAGUUGGCCUAAAAGCAGCCAUCUUUAAGAAAGCGUUAAAGCUCCGUUACUUACAUUAUAUAAUUCUUAACAACACAUCUAACCCAUCACCAGUAUUGAAUGAUUUCAUAAAUUAUGAAAGCCACCAUGCUAGAACUAGUAACAAGAAAAUGAAUUUCUCCAAAGUGUAAGCAAAAACCAAGAUGGACUACCCAUUGGUAAUCAACGACUCUGAAUAAACUAUAGCAACUUUUCAAGAAAACCCUAUAUUCUCCCCCGUUAACCUAACACAAGAACACUUCUGGAAAGAUUAAAAGGAGAAGAAGGAACUCGGCAAACCUUAGCCCCGCCUGUUUACCAAAAACAUCGCCUCUUGUUUAAGUAUAAGAGGUCCAGCCUGCCCAGUGAUAAUUUAUUCAACGGCCGCGUGAUUUAAAGCGCGCAAAGGUAGCGUAAUCACUUGUUCUUUAAAUGAGGACUCGAAUCAACGGCACCACGAGGGCUAUACUGUCUCCUUCUCCUAAUCAGUGAAACUAAUCUCCCUGUGAAAAAGCAGGAAUAUCCCUAUAAGACGAGAAGACCCCAUGGAGCUUUAAACAUAACAGCACCUUUAAAACUUAAUCAUCUACCUUAUUAACCUGAAAGCAUUGUAUGUUAGUUUUAGGUUGGGGCGACCGCGGAGUAUAAUAGAACCUCCAUAACGAAAGGGCGUAAAUCCUUACUUGAGAAAAACAUUUCUACAAAUUAUUAACAUAACGUUUAAUGACCCGAUCAUCGAUUAACGAACCAAGUUACCCUGGGGAUAACAGCGCAAUCCAUUUUGAGAGCUCAUAUUGACAAAUGGGUUUACGACCUCGAUGU